CCCGAAUUUGACAAGAGAAGUUGGUAGACUUGGGACCAUAAACUGGAAAACAAGAUAUGAAAGUAUGCUCCAAUCAAUCUUUACUGUUCAUAGAGGACAACCAUUUGGGAAAUUCACAGACCAUUGAACCUUGUCUCUGAAUUCCCAGUUCAGCACCUCUACUUUUAGAGAGGAGAAACACAACUCUGAAGAGGACACUUUGAAAGUGUAACAAAAUGACAUCCAGAGCUUAUCCAGAUGAGCAGAGAGCAACUGAAUUGCCUUCUGCUCCUUUGUUGAAGAAGAGAGAAAAUUCUUCAACCAAUUCAAUGAACUUACAUAUCUUCUUAAGAAAUUACAAUUUUUGAGCAACACAGAUGGAUGGGAAGGCUAGAAAUGGCACGAGCAGGCCAUCCCUUUCUGAGCAGCUGCUACCAAGUCAGGCAGAAGUUCACCGGAGAUUCCUGAUGAAAGCACAAGACAAGCCGGACCCAUGGAUCCAUGAAACAGUCUCCCCUUGAUAUGAAUCAAAGGUAGACACUUCCCCUUCCCUUUCUUCCAAGUGACUUAUAUGCAACAAAUGAACUCACUUUUCUUAUGUUUAUUUAGUUCAGGUCCUCAUGUUUCCUCCUGGCAAACACGCCUAUCAAGUUCAUGUGACCCAGCUAAAUGGCUAUGGUCAUUUUUUUCUGGCUAAAUAAGCAGGUGGACCACACACCAGGGUCAGUGAUGUUUGAAACCAAACCACCCACUACUAGUGCGAAAAGGAGCACGUGUGCAGGGUAUGGUGAUUUCCUUUCAAGGUGUUUGCAUGGAGGCAGGAGCUUUCUCUUUGACUGUGGGAGACGGUUCCCUGUUUGGUCCUCAAUCCACAUGCUCCUCAAUCUUUCCAUUUCUUCUCUUUCUUUCAGCCUUGUUAUUGGCUUUGUAAUACUUGAAGUUAUUCCAACCAUAGAGGUUUCUCUUUUUGCGGCACUGCCUGUGGAUAAGCAAUGUGGAUUAUUCCCUUAUUUCUGCUGCUCGGGAAAUAUACAAAUUCUCUUGAUUCUUUCAGAAUGUUUGAUUAUUUCAAGUUUCUCUUCAAUAUGGAAACUUUCCUUUUGCAUGCACUAUUUGACAUUAUGAAUCAAGAGGCUUAGACAUGCUUGGUAUGCUAAAGGAGUGGGUUUUUUUUUUGUUUUUUUGUUUUAAUUUUUUUUAACGUUUAUUCAUUUUUGAGAGAUAGAGACAGAGUGCGAGUGCGGG
Long non-coding RNA from Leopardus geoffroyi (Geoffroy's cat), 1224 nucleotides. RefSeq lists it as uncharacterized. The record is from RefSeq and is a predicted model, not a curated record. NCBI's taxonomy places the organism in Eukaryota, Metazoa, Chordata, Mammalia, Carnivora, Felidae. The transcript has 5 exons.